UUGUCAUCAAAGUGCAAGAAACUGCGAAUAUCUUUAAAUCUUUGAAUUGACAUAGUGGCCUUGUACAAUGGGUUAUGCAGAGGACUCCCAAAAAACACACUGACUGGUACAUCCCAGUUCUUCUCACUUCCUGCAAAAAUGGUCAAUCAAAUGAAGGCCAGGAGCUUUUGUUUGAUUACAUUUUUCCACUCUUUUCCCCUGUCUGUGGCUACUCUUCAUGCCUCCAUGUUUGUGCAUGUCAGCACCUCUUCUAUUAUAUUAUCACACAUGAACAUCUUCCAUGCAUUUACUGGGGACACAGUACUAAACCCAGGUGCAAGCCCUGGCCGACUAAUUCAGAAUAUUGUGGCCAGAGCAGUAAGAGGGGCUCAUUCUGUUAGACUCAAUAUCCAUUUCCUCUUCAGAGGACUCCUCUGUAUCUGACUAGUCUUGUUCGGGGGGAGGGGGACGACAAUAGUCUGGGUCCUCUAUAUCUGAGAUGUCCGAUUCUGAGUCAAUGCCUCCGAUGGUCUCUUCAUCCCAUCCGUCCUGGAUCAUUUGUAGGGCAAGGUCCACAGCUGGCCUCAUAGCAGCCAUGUUACUUUAGAUAUUAAAAAAACAAACAAACAAACAAACAAACAAACAAACAAAAAAAACACCAGAAAGGACAAUGUUUGAAAUGCACAGAAAACUAUAAACAGGGCUGCACAUACAAUUUCUUCGUAAAUCAGGGUGGAAAAUAAGUAUUUGGUCAAUAACAAAAAUACAACUCAAUACUUUGUAACAUAACCUUUGUUGGCAAUAACAGAGGUCAAAUGUUUACUAUAGGUCUUUACCAGGUUUGCACACACAGUAGCUGGUAUUUUGGCCCAUUCCUCCAUGCAGAUCUUCUCAAGAGCAGUGAUGUUUUGGGGCUGUCGCCGAGCAACACGGACUUUCAACUCCCGCCACAGAUUUUCUAUGGGGUUGAGGUCUGGAGACUGGCUAGGCCACUCCAGGACUUUCAAAUGCUUCUUACGGAGCCACUCCUUUGUUGCCCGGGCGGUGUGUUUUGGAUCAUUGUCAUGUUGGAAGACCCAGCCUCGUUUCAUCUUCAAAGUUCUCACUGAUGGAAGGAGGUUUUGGCUCAAAAUCUCACGAUACAUGGCCCCAUUCAUUCUGUCCUUAACACGGAUCAGUCGUCCUGUCCCCUUGGCAGAAAAACAGCCCCAUAGCAUGAUGUUUCCACCCCCAUGCUUCACAGUAGGUAUGGUGUUCUUGGGAUGCAACUCAGUAUUCUUCUUCCUCCAAACACGACGAGUUGAGUUUAUACCAAAAAGUUCUUUUUUUUUUUUUUUUUUUUUUUAAAUGACAUCAGAAACAGCAGUAUGCGACAUUACGUGAUGGCAGAGCUUCAGUUCAUCCUUUGUCAUUUUUUUUUUUUUUUUUUUUUUAAUAAAUAGGACAGGGGGAAUGAAUGAGAGAGAGGGGGAGAGAAAGAAAGAAAACCAAAGGGGAGAAGAGACGGUGAGAAGGGGGGGAAGAGAGACAAAAAAAAAAAAAAACUCCUGGGUCACCUGUAUGGAGAAAAAAAAACAAACAAACAAACAAACAAAAACAAACAGAGGAGACAGCAAACAACAAAGAGCAACAUAAUAAUAGAGAAAACAAAGCACCAUCACAAUAAACUAGCUAGUCAUAGAUAUCAGUAUUUACUAAGUAAUAAACGAUAUUGUGCAGCACGCAAGAUAGACAGCGCACAGUGUGCUUUGAGGCAGCAGCCAAGAAAGCUUUAGUCCGCGUCUGUGAAUACCCAUGUCACCGCCAAGAAUGAUUGUGCAAUCAAGGUGUUCAGAGAGUGCACUAAAAAAACCGUGGAAGAAUGAGGGUUCAUCAACAUUUGGACCAUAUAUACUAACAAUACAUAGUUUUUUGUUCAAUAUUGAUAGUUUAAUAAUUAGAAAUCUACCCUCUGGAUCUAUAACUGUAUCGAGUACUGUAAAAUUAACAUUUUUAUGUAUUGAAAUUGCUACUCCCCGUUGUCUAGAAUUAUAACCGGCUGCAAACACGUUAGGAAACUCAGGUGUUUUAA
Long non-coding RNA from Astatotilapia calliptera (eastern happy), 2050 nucleotides. The record is from Ensembl. NCBI's taxonomy places the organism in Eukaryota, Metazoa, Chordata, Actinopteri, Cichliformes, Cichlidae.